ACAAAUUCAAGCUCAGCUUGGUGAUGGGUGUCUGUCCCGCCGUCGCGCGUGGACUCGCCUCAAAUGCAGUUGGCAGUUCCUCCCUCGGCUCUAAACGCAGCAGAAUUGCGUCGAGCGGCCUUGAGGAUGGGCUUUCCAGGAAGCAAACCCCCCACA
RNAcentral lists this unclassified non-coding RNA (156 nucleotides) under uncultured Phoma. Its description in RNAcentral is "sequence contains ITS2". Lineage: Eukaryota; Fungi; Ascomycota. The record is from RNAcentral. RNAcentral also lists the same sequence under 1 other name.